This 469-nucleotide ribosomal RNA is filed under the name uncultured bacterium. RNAcentral describes it as "partial 16S ribosomal RNA". It matches the Rfam family "Bacterial small subunit ribosomal RNA", at positions 28 to 507 of the family's 1533-position model. The record is from RNAcentral.
AACGAACGUUGGCGGCGUGGAUUAGGCAUGCAAGUCGAACGCGAAUCCCUGGGCAACUGGGGAGGAGAGUGGCGAAAGGGGCAGUAAGGCGUGGGUAACCUACCCUCCGGGCCGGGAUAGCUUCGGGAAACUGAAGGUAAUACCGGGCGACGCAGCGAGAUCGCAUGGUCUUGCUGCCAAAGGUCCGCCGCCGGGGGAGGGGCUCACGUGGUAUUAGCUAGACGGCGGGGUAACGGCCCACCGUGGCAAAGAUGCCUAGCAGGUGUGAGAGCACGACCUGCGCCACUGGCACUGAGACACUGGCCAGACACCGACGGGUGGCUGCAGUCGGGGAUCUUCGGCAAUGGGCGCAAGCCUGACCGAGCGACGCCGCGUGUGCGAUGAAGGCCUUCGGGUUGUAAAGCACUGUCGAGGGGGAGGAAGCCGCAAGGUUGACCUAUCCCUGGAGGAAGCACGGGCUAAGUUCGUG